This 1584-nucleotide long non-coding RNA is filed under the name Homo sapiens (human). Its description in RNAcentral is "HSALNT0382217". The record is from RNAcentral. Lineage: Eukaryota; Metazoa; Chordata; Mammalia; Primates; Hominidae.
CACCCACCUUUAGAGAUGAGACACAAGCAGGAGAAGAGGGAUUAAACCUGCUAGUUUUGGAAAAAAAAAAAAAAAGGAAAGAAAAGAAAAGAAAGAAAGAAAAACAAAAAACAACAACAAACAGAAAAAUGCAAAACUGCAGAACACGCAGUGGAGCUGGACUCCCUCCCUAUUCCACCAGACCAGUGCCCAAAGUUGGAGAAUAACUAGAAACCAGGCUUCAGAUGUCUUGGGUACCAGUUAUAAAGAUUCAGAAUCAGCAACUGAGGAUUCACUGCAAUUGUUCCUUGAGAAGAUGAGGAUCAGGUCGGGAAUUGGAAACAUCUGAGGGCUCAAUUCAACCUGGCUUCUAAAACGAACAUGGUGAACAUAGAUCAACUACUGAACUUCUUUUAACCUCUGGCAUCCUAUCUGUGAAUUGUGGGGAGGAAACAGGGUCCACCCGCUGCUGCACAAGAGGGGUGUGUGCAGACCGUCACCUUGUGUCUGCUGUAGCAGGAGACCCCUGGCCAUGCGGGACUGAACCCAUGAUUGCAGCUGAUCUUACUCUGUCUCUUCUCUGUGUGAGUAAAGUGUUGUUCCAUCUAGUGCCUGUGUGAGUCGUGUCUUUCGUGGCGACACCUAUAAACCAUGGAGUGGGCUGACAUCCUGGUUCUGCUGCUCCUGGUGGCGGGCAUUGUUGUGCUGUUUGCCGUCCUCUACACAGUGCGAAUCUUCUCUACCCUGCCCGAGUCUCGGCAUCUCCACAUGUGCCAUGAGGAUGGUAAUGCUUUACAGAACUGAAGACUCACAUCAAAAUGCUGCCUGCUUCCAUGAGGCUUGUAGUGACAUCCAUGUACAAGUUCAAAGACCCUCUGAGCCAAUUUCCACUUCUCUGCAUGUCUCUGGGGACCUAGGGGACCAGGAUUACUAUAAAAGCAGAGCACAAGAAGGCUGACCUUGAACUCCUCAAGAUGCUUGCUCCUGGGAUUCUCCAGCUGCAAUCAGCAUCCCCCACCCCCACUUGCCUGCGGUUGCUACAUGGGUCAGACAGCAAGGACCACAGGGGCACUAAGUUUGCUGCUGACUCUUGACCUCAGAUGGGCUAUUUGGCCAAGGGCCCAGCUCUCCCUCCAAUGUAGAGGAGGCAGGGAGGCAGGAGCCAGCAAGAAGUUCCUCCAGGCAAAGGGAAAGUGGCAAAGAUACUCAAGAGCUCACAGGUACCUAGCACACAUUGCCCAUGGGCACACAUAUCACUCUGCAAACUAUACACGAAACCCCUGAAAUUCAGGAGUACACAAGCCCCCACAAAAUGUAGGACCACAUGCUUCAAUAUUCACUUUCCAACAUAUUCAGAUCCACAGAAACACAAAUAGCCCCGCGUAAUGUGCAUACAAACACAUCUAUAUCAUGCUGCAACAUGCCCACACUUACACGUUUCCCCCAAAACAGCAUGAAAUCAAUCUGGGCACCUCACUUCUAUGGAAAACUUGCUCUCUGAAGUGUGAACAUUUGUGCACACACACAAAUACACCUACCCUGUAGGUCCAAAUGCCUGGGCAGCAUGCCAGGAAUGGCACCCCUGGGCCUUGCCAGUCAUGGCAG